This 468-nucleotide ribosomal RNA is filed under the name uncultured bacterium. RNAcentral's name for it is "partial 16S ribosomal RNA". It matches the Rfam family "Bacterial small subunit ribosomal RNA", at positions 28 to 507 of the family's 1533-position model. The record is from RNAcentral.
GACGAACGCUGGCGGCGUGCUUAACACAUGCAAGUCGAACGGAAAGGCCCUGCUUUUGCGGGGUGCUCGAGUGGCGAACGGGUGAGUAACACGUGAGUAACCUGCCCUUGACUUUGGGAUAACUUCAGGAAACUGGGGCUAAUACCGGAUAGGAGCUCCUGCUGCAUGGUGGGGGUUGGAAAGUUUCGGCGGUUGGGGAUGGACUCGCGGCUUAUCAGCUUGUUGGUGGGGUAGUGGCUUACCAAGGCUUCGACGGGUAGCCGGCCUGAGAGGGGGGACGGCGACCAUGGGACUGAGGUAGGGAGCAGAAGGGAACGGGCGGCAGCAGGGGGGAGUAUGACACAGUGGGGGGAAGCCUGAUGCGGCGGCGCCGCGUGCGGAAUAACGGCCUUCGGGUUGUAAACCGCUUUCGCAUGUGACGAAGCGUGAGUGACGGUAAUGGGUAAAGAAGCACCGGCUAACUACGUG